GCAUCCGUGGUGCAGUGGUAGUAGCAUGCACCCCCGCUAUGGAUGAAACCCGGGUUCGAUUCCUGCCUGAGGCC
This is a non-coding RNA of Parelaphostrongylus tenuis, 74 nucleotides long. Lineage: Eukaryota; Metazoa; Nematoda; Chromadorea; Rhabditida; Metastrongylidae. The record is from the annotation of a GenBank genome assembly.